UGCCAGACUCCUACGGGAGGCAGCAGUGAGGAAUAUUGGUCAAUGGGCGCGAGCCUGAACCAGCCAAGUCGCGUGGGGGAUGAAGGAUCUAUGGUUCGUAAACCUCUUUUAUAAGGGAAUAAAGUGCGGGACGCGUCCCGCUUCGCAUGUACCUUAUGAAUAAGGAUCGGCUAACUCCGUGCCAGCAGCCGCGGUAAUACGGAGGAUCCGAGCGUUAUCCGGAUUUAUUGGGUUUAAAGGGUGCGCAGGCGGAAUGUCAAGUCAGCGGUAAAAUUUCGGGGCUCAACCCCGUCGUGCCGUUGAAACUGGCGUUCUUGAGUGAGCGAGAAGUAUGCGGAAUGCGUGGUGUAGCGGUGAAAUGCAUAGAUAUCACGCAGAACUCCGAUUGCGAAGGCAGCAUACCGGCGCUCAACUGACGCUCAUGCACGAAAGCGUGGGUAUCGAACAGGAUUAGAUACCCCAGUAGG
Molecule: ribosomal RNA, 467 nt
Filed under: uncultured bacterium
Lineage: Bacteria
Description: bacterial SSU rRNA
Rfam family: Bacterial small subunit ribosomal RNA
Source: RNAcentral